GGAAAAUCAGUCACUAGGACCUUUUUC
Molecule: non-coding RNA, 27 nt
Filed under: Rattus norvegicus (Norway rat)
Lineage: Eukaryota; Metazoa; Chordata; Mammalia; Rodentia; Muridae
Source: RNAcentral